RNAcentral lists this ribosomal RNA (525 nucleotides) under Triticum aestivum (bread wheat). RNAcentral describes it as "partial small subunit ribosomal RNA". The record is from RNAcentral. Lineage: Eukaryota; Viridiplantae; Streptophyta; Magnoliopsida; Poales; Poaceae.
AUGUUCGCCGGUGGAGCGUCCAGCGUUAACCCGGACGGGAAUAGUUCCAUUUGGAAUCUUAUAUGGCGGUCUUCUGUACCUCUGCGCAUGAAACAUACGGCAUGGCGGGUGGCGACUGGUGCCUUAGCUACAGCAGCUUGCAUGCAAUACCGGCACCUGGUGUCGUGUGGGACAUGCCCCCUAUGCGGUACUGAAGAUGAGGAUAGCUAUCAUGCUUUGGUUGCAUGCAACCAUGCACGUAUCUUAUGGGAGGCAAUGAGGCAGGUUUGGUCGCUCCCCCAUGACCAGCUUCUUAUAAAUAGCGGCAGGGAAUGGCUGCCAAACUUGCUACUAAAUUGCAAUGAAGCUGAGCGAGACAGAGUUCUUAUGCUUUUCUGGCGUCUUUGGCAAUUACGGAAUGAUUUCACUCAUGGUAAGGAGGUUCCCCCUUCUCAGGAAUCCGGUGCGGCAGCGGCAGGAAUGAUUCUCCGACGACAUGAUGGGGGAUGGACUAGUUCGUUCUGCUUAUGGUCAUCUUGUGGCUGA